UCAUCAUCUCCUCCAAAUCCAAAACCUAUCUCCUUCGCAAAUCGCAAAUCGCAAAUCGCAACAGAUCAGAGUUCAGAGCAUUAUGAAUCCAGAAGAUCUUCUUCAACCUCUCUUAAUCACCCAAACACGGAAGUGCACUCUUGGCUGCCCACUUCUAGAUCGCCUCCUCGCCGGUGGCGUCCCUUGCAACUCUGUAACCGAGCUAGUGGCGGAGAGCGGCUGCGGAAAAACCCAAAUCUCCCUCCAACUCCUCCUCACUGCCCAGCUCCCUUUCUCCCUCGGCGGCCUCUCCGCCUCCUCCCUCUACCUCUACUCCGAAUCUCCUUUCCCUCUCCGCCGCCUCCGCCAGCUCUCCCUUUCUUUCCCCGCUCUUCAAAACCCCUUGGAUAAAAUCCUCACCCACCCACUUCACUCUGCAUACCACCUGCUCGACCUAUUGCCCCGCAUUGACUCCAUCCUAUCCCGCCCCCCCGCACCCCAUUCCCCUAUCAAGCUACUGGUUAUUGACUCCAUAGCCGCGCUCUUUCGCCAUGAAUUCGAGAACAAUCUGCAGGAGCUUAAGCAGAGGUCGGAUUUAUUCUUCAAGAUUUCGGGCAAAUUAAAGGAGCAAGCGAGGAGGUUUGGUUUGGCGGUGGUGGUGGUUAACCAGGUUGUGGAUGUGGUGAGUGCUUCUGAAUCCGUUUGGAUUCGCAAUUCGCCUUCGCUGUACACUUCUGGAAGGAAUGUGUGUGCUGUUCUGGGAUUAUCUUGGUCGAAUUGUGUGAAUACGAGGUUGUUUUUAUCCAAGCAUGAGGAAAGAGUGGGUGAAGAUGGAGAUGGGUGUGCUCUUACGCAGAAAAGACAGUUUAUACGCGUUGUCUUUUCCCCCUAUCUGCCUGAUUCUUCCUGCGAAUUUGUUAUUAGAAAAGAAGGGGUCUUUGGAGUUGAAAGGUAGCAAUUGCAAUUCAGUUUCAACUUUCAAUGAUAUGAGGUCAAGUAAUGUACAAACCCACAGUUUACUCAACAGGCAGGGCAUAUUUUUCAACCAAAAAGAACAAGGAAAAAUAACCUCCAUUCAGGAGGAAUACUUAAUGAAAAGACAAAAGAUAUAUGAGAUAAUAUCACAUUUUCAAGCAUUCAAAAGUUUCACAUGCCGUUCAUCAAGAGACUUCAAACUUAAAAGAAUAUUAUGUCUUUAUUAGUAACUUAGAGCAUCCCCAUCAGUGAUUUUUGG
Ipomoea nil (Japanese morning glory) is the source of this 1213-nucleotide RNA transcript. It is a transcript of the gene named DNA repair protein XRCC3 homolog, with no coding region annotated. The record is from RefSeq and is a predicted model, not a curated record. The transcript is spliced from 2 exons. Lineage: Eukaryota; Viridiplantae; Streptophyta; Magnoliopsida; Solanales; Convolvulaceae.